Molecule: ribosomal RNA, 253 nt
Filed under: uncultured bacterium
Lineage: Bacteria
Description: partial 16S ribosomal RNA
Rfam family: Bacterial small subunit ribosomal RNA
Source: RNAcentral
GAUCCUGGCUCAGGAUGAACGCUAGCGGCAGGCUUAACACAUGCAAGUCGAGGGGCAGCGGGGAGUAGCAAUACUCCGCCGGCGACCGGCGCACGGGUGCGUAACGCGUAUGCAACCUACCUUUAACAGGGGCAUAACGACUGAGAAAUUGGCACUAAUUCCCCAUAACAUUCGAGAAGGCAUCUUCUUGGGUUAAAAACUCCGGUGGUUAAAGAUGGGCAUGCGUUGUAUUAGCUAGUUGGUGAGGUAACGG